GACGAACGCUGGCGGCGUGCUUAACACAUGCAAGUCGAACGGAAAGGCCCUGCUUUUGUGGGGUGCUCGAGUGGCGAACGGGUGAGUAACACGUGAGUAACCUGCCCUUGACUUUGGGAUAACUUCAGGAAACUGGGGCUAAUACCGGAUAGGAGCUCCUGCUGCAUGGUGGGGGUUGGAAAGUUUCGGCGGUUGGGGUUGGACUUGCGGCUUAUCAGCUUGUUGGUGGGGUAGUGGCUUACCAAGGCUUUGACGGGUAGCCGGCCUGAGAGGGUGACCGGCCACAUUGGGACUGAGAUACGGCCCAGACUCCUACGGGAGGCAGCAGUGGGGAAUAUUGCACAAUGGGCGGAAGCCUGAUGCAGCGACGCCGCGUGCUGGAUGACGGCCUUCGGGCUGUAAACCGCUUUCGCCUGUGACGAAGCGUGAGUGACGGUAAUGGGUAAAGAAGCACCGGCUAACUACGUG
This 468-nucleotide ribosomal RNA is filed under the name uncultured bacterium. RNAcentral describes it as "partial 16S ribosomal RNA". It matches the Rfam family "Bacterial small subunit ribosomal RNA", at positions 28 to 507 of the family's 1533-position model. The record is from RNAcentral.